GGCGACGGGUGAGUAAUACUUAGGAAUCUGCCCAUUAGUGGGGGACAACUCGAGGAAACUCGAGCUAAUACCGCAUACGCCCUACGGGGGAAAGCGGAGGACCUUUCGGGGCUUCGCGCUAAUGGAUGAGCCUAAGUCGGAUUAGCUUGUUGGUGAGGUAAAGGCUCACCAAGGCGACGAUCCGUAGCUGGUCUGAGAGGACGAUCAGCCACACUGGGACUGAGACACGGCCCAG
This 235-nucleotide ribosomal RNA is filed under the name uncultured bacterium. RNAcentral's name for it is "partial 16S ribosomal RNA". It matches the Rfam family "Bacterial small subunit ribosomal RNA", at positions 102 to 334 of the family's 1533-position model. The record is from RNAcentral.